UACGGAGGGUGCAAACGUUGCUCGGAAUCACUGGGCGUAAAGGGUGCGUAGGCGGGUCUUUAAGUCAGGGGUGAAAUCCUGGAGCUCAACUCCAGAACUGCCUUUGAUACUGAGGAUCUUGAGUUCGGGAGAGGUGAGUGGAACUGCGAGUGUAGAGGUGAAAUUCGUAGAUAUUCGCAAGAACACCAGUGGCGAAGGCGGCUCACUGGCCCGAUACUGACGCUGAGGCACGAAAGCGUGGGGAGCAAACAGG
This 253-nucleotide ribosomal RNA is filed under the name uncultured bacterium. Its description in RNAcentral is "partial 16S ribosomal RNA". It matches the Rfam family "Bacterial small subunit ribosomal RNA", at positions 524 to 776 of the family's 1533-position model. The record is from RNAcentral.